RNAcentral lists this transfer RNA (71 nucleotides) under Marmota marmota marmota (Alpine marmot). It matches the Rfam family "tRNA". From Rfam's summary of the family: Transfer RNA (tRNA) molecules are approximately 80 nucleotides in length. Their secondary structure includes four short double-helical elements and three loops (D, anti-codon, and T loops). Lineage: Eukaryota; Metazoa; Chordata; Mammalia; Rodentia; Sciuridae. RNAcentral also lists the same sequence under 1 other name. The record is from Rfam by way of RNAcentral.
GUGGCUGUGGCUCAGUAGUAGAGCACUUGCCUAGCACGUGUGAGGCACUGGGUUCGAUCCUCAGCACCACA